This 591-nucleotide long non-coding RNA is filed under the name Salvia miltiorrhiza (redroot sage). RNAcentral's name for it is "long non-coding RNA (SMIL_LNC007096)". The record is from RNAcentral. Lineage: Eukaryota; Viridiplantae; Streptophyta; Magnoliopsida; Lamiales; Lamiaceae.
UGGGGGCGAGGGUGAACCUGGGGUCUAUCUGGUUAGUGUGCAUUCGUACAAAGUGUUUAUUACGACACUGUUAUUUGAUUAACAUCUUAUUUGUUUUUCUGCCACAAGUUCGAAAUAUUUCUUUAGUUGUUCAAUUUAUUAUACAUAUCUGUUCAAAAUAUUUUUUGCGAAAUUAUUAUUUGGUAAACAUCCUAUUUGAGAUAUCUCCCUGUGAGGCAGAUGAAUGGCCGAUGCUACUGGCAGAGCACCCAAGCGGUGCAGAGCGCGGAUAAUACGUCCAGGUGAGGGGCGUGGUAGAUGAGGAUCGAGGCCAACCGAAAAAAUGCAUAAUUCUCAAUCCGCCAUGAAAUUCGAGAAUGAGGAAUUAUGGCGAGAGUAAGACAGGUGGAAACAUGCUUUUCCUUUCUGUUUUUUCUAUUUUAUUGUUCAGUUAAUUUGUAAACAACUUUUCUGUAGUUGUUAGAGAUGAGUGAAGAGAUUUUUUCAUAAUUGUGAUUUUGUUCAUUUAGAAUUGGGUUAUGUUCAUUUAUUAGAAUUGUGUUCAGUAAAUCUAAAUAAGGUUUUCGUUUCUGCUAUGAAAUCUGAUUUUUU